Molecule: ribosomal RNA, 252 nt
Filed under: uncultured bacterium
Lineage: Bacteria
Description: partial 16S ribosomal RNA
Rfam family: Bacterial small subunit ribosomal RNA
Source: RNAcentral
UACGUAGGGGGCGAGCGUUGUCCGGAGUUACUGGGCGUAAAGCGCACGCAGGCGGUCUGCUAAGUUUGGAGUGACAGUUGGUGGCUUAACUGCCAAAGUGCUUCGAAAACUGACAGACUUGAGGGCUUCAGAGGGACACGGAAUUCCGGGUGGAGUGGUGAAAUGCGUAGAGAUCCGGAGGAACACCAAAGGCGAAGGCAGUGUCCUGGGGAGUACCUGACGCUCAGGUGCGAAAGCCAGGGGAGCGAACGG